Molecule: long non-coding RNA, 638 nt
Organism: Alligator mississippiensis (American alligator)
Lineage: Eukaryota; Metazoa; Chordata; Crocodylia; Alligatoridae
Exons: 2
Source: RefSeq, a predicted model, not a curated record
CCUAUUACAAAAAGAGGAGGAUCUGAUGUUUACAAACUGCGCUAGACAACAUUAAGUAACAGCUGGGUGGGCUUCAGCUUGCUUCAAUUCUACCAGGUGAAGGGAGAUUUCGUUUUCAAAUAACCAGUGGCUCCCAAAACAGCUAUUCAUUUGGCAGCCUCCGCACAAGGAAAGUGAAGCACAGAUCACCCCGUGUCCCCGGGAACAUCCGUCUUCGCGGAUUUCACAGAUCAACCUGCUUCAGCCAGUGCUGCCAGGUACCCCCAACGCCCCGUGAUGCAGGCUGUCCUGUCCAAACUGGAGGCCAAAGGAAGCUCCUUCCGUCCCUAACCGUUUAUGAUCAGAUAAGCCCCCAAGUGACGUUUUGGAUGUGACUUCAGAAGACCAGAACGGAUUCAAUGGGGGUUGAUGCUGAGGAGAACAAGGCCACGUCUGCACAGUCAGCGCCCGGCACGUCUUGUACGUGGAUGUCGGUGGGUGCCAGCUCUGCGCAGGGUGCUCGCCGGGGCCGACCCUGCAGUGCCCGCACACUGCUAGCAGCCUCCUGAAAAUCAGCUUGUUAUAAGACUGUGGAGUCUGCCAAUGGGCUGAUGUUUGGGGAAAAAUAAAUGUUGCCUUCUGUCUGCAUCAGUUAUAAA